Molecule: ribosomal RNA, 460 nt
Filed under: uncultured bacterium
Lineage: Bacteria
Description: partial 16S ribosomal RNA
Rfam family: Bacterial small subunit ribosomal RNA
Source: RNAcentral
CCUACGGGAGACAGCAGUGAGGAAUAUUGGUCAAUGGGCGGAAGCCUGAACCAGCCAAGUAGCGUGCAGGAUGACGGCCCUACGGGUUGUAAACUGCUUUUAUACGGGAAUAACGCGCCUUACGUGUAGGGCUUUUCUUGUACCGUAUUAAUAAGGACCGGCUAAUUCCGUGCCAGCAGCCCAGGUAAUACGGAAGGUCCGGGCGUUAUCCGGAUUUAUUGGGUUUAAAGGGAGCGUAGGCCGCAUGUCAAGCGUGCUGUGAAAUGUCCGGGCUCAACCCGGGCCUUGCAGCGCGAACUGGCGUGCUUGAGUCCGCAGAAGGCAGGCGGAACUCGUCGUGUAGCGGUGGAAUGCUUAGAUAUGACGAAGAACCCCGAUUGCGAAGGCAGCUUGCUGCAGCGGAACUGACGCUGAUGCUCGAAAGCGCGGGUAUCGAACAGGGUUAGAUACCCUUGUAGUC